AGCUGCGCGGCGGCCGGUUCGAACUGCCCUGCCCUCCUUCUCCUUCCUAUGCAUGCUCCCUCCCGCCGCCGCAGCGGCCAUUCGCGCCACGGCGGGCUCGCCGCGGGCCGUACGCCGCGUUCACGCGCGUCUCCUAAAGGAGGGGCUCGCCGACCUCCUCCCCGCGCCGGCGCUCCUUGUGUCCGCCUACGCCAGGUCGUGCCUCCUCCCCGACGCCCGCCGCGCGUUCGACGACGCGCCGCGCCGGGACCUCUACCUCUACUCAGCGCUCCUCGCCGCGGUCUCCCGCUCCUCCGCCCCGGAACUCGCGCUCCCGCUCCUCCGCCGCAUGCUCUCUGACGACGCGCUCCGCCCGGACCACUUCGUCCUUGCCUCCCUCGCCAGCGCCGCCGCCAGGCUGCGCAGCCUCCGCCUCGGCAGGCAGCUCCACGCCCACUUUGUCGCAUCCCCGUACAGCGCCGACGACGUCGUUAAGUCGUCGCUUAUCGACAUGUACUGCAAGUGUGGCGUCCCUGAGGAUGCGCGGAAGGUGUUCGACAGUAUCGGUGUCAAGAACGGUGUCGUGUGGACGGCGCUGGUUUCUGGGUACGCGUCCAACGGCUGCACUGGCGAGGCGAUCGACCUCUUCCGGAGCAUGCCUGAACGCGGCCUCUUCGCGUGGACUGCGCUCAUCUCUGGGUUUGUCAAGGCCGGGAACAAUACUGGCGCCGUGGGGCUGUUUGUUGAGAUGAGGCGGGAUGGUGUCAGGAUUGAUGACGCGUUCGUGCUGGCGACUGUUGUCGGUGGCGCCGCAGAACUGGCCGCGCUUGUGCUGGGCAGACAGCUGCAUGGUUUUGCAAUAACGCUUGGAUUUCUGUCCAGUAUGAUUGUUGGGAACGCACUGGUUGACAUGUACUCUAAAUGCAGUGACAUACACUCUGCUAGGGAAGUGUUUGGGGGGAUUAUAGUCCGUGACGUCGUCUCAUGGACAACAAUUCUUGUUGGAGAGGCACAGCAUGGUCGAGUUGAGGAGGUAUUGGCUCUUUACGACAGGAUGCUUCUUGCAGGGAUGAAGCCCAAUGAGGUGACAUUUGUUGGGUUGAUUUAUGCUUGCAGUCAUGCUGGUCUUGUUCAGAAAGGGCGGCAGCUAUUUGAUUCAAUGAAGCGGGAAUAUGGCAUCAAGCCUGGACUGCAACACUAUACCUGCUAUCUGGACCUUCUUAGUCGCUCUGGCUAUUUAUCAGAAGCUGAAGAACUCAUCACAACAAUGCCGUAUGAGCCUGAUGAAGCUAGUUGGGGCGCCCUAUUGAGUGCCUGUAAGAAGCACAACGAUACUCAGAUGUGUCUCAGGGUCGCUGAUAAUUUACUAGAGCUGAGACCAAAAGAUCCUUCAACAUAUAUCUUGUUAUCUAAUGUCUAUGCAGUUAACUGCAAGUGGGAUUCCGUGGCCAAGGUAAGAAAAAUCAUGGCUGAGAUGGAGAUAAGAAAGGAGCCAGGGUAUAGUUGGAUUGAAGCUGGGAGGGAAUCUCGUAUGUUUCAUGCUGGGGAGGUUCCACUUGAUAUUGGAGAAGAAAUUACUCGUUUUCUUGAGGAAUUGGUCUCAGAGAUGCGCAAGAGGGGUUAUGUCCCUGAUACUAGCUCUGUGAUGCAUGACUUGGAAGAGAAUGAAAAGGAGCAGCAUCUGUUCUUGCACAGCGAGAGGCUGGCUGUAGCUUUUGGAAUACUCAAGUCCCCUCCGGGAUCAGUGAUUCGGGUUGUAAAGAAUCUCCGCGUCUGCGGGGACUGUCACACAGUAAUGAAGUUCAUCAGUGAGAUUGCACAAAGGAAGAUCAUCGUGAGAGAUGCUAGUCGUUUCCACCAUUUUGAGGAUGGUAACUGCUCUUGUAGUGAAUUCUGGUAGCUGAUCUGCUGAUGUUCAGUUGUAAUUAGUCUCAGAUUCGGCGGAUAAGCUCAAGCGAACAGGGGCGCCAUACUCUAGUGUACCUUAUAGAGCUAUGUGGAAUGGACCCAGAAGAGCUGAAUGAUGGAGCCCUAGUAAAGAACAAAAAACUGGCGUCCAUCUCCAAGAGAAGGAAAGUCGAAGUGGCAGACUCAGAGUCCAGCCCAAAAGCAGAAACCAAGAAGAAUGGAAAGAAGGACAAGGAGGGAAAGAAGAAGGGCCAGAAGCCCGAGGAUGAAUGACGUGCAGCGCUGCUCUUGGCUGUAGUGAUCCUUGCUAGACUAGGGACACACUCUUUUGUUGUUAUCCUCCCUUUGUUAAUGAAUCAGAACAGUUUUCGGUCUUGGAAAGUCCUCUCUUGGAAUGUUAGAGGCAUUAAUGCUGAAUGGAAAUGGGAUGCUGUGGGGAACAA
RNA transcript from Sorghum bicolor (sorghum), 2330 nucleotides. It is a transcript of the gene named pentatricopeptide repeat-containing protein At4g14050, mitochondrial, with no coding region annotated. The transcript has 3 exons. Lineage: Eukaryota; Viridiplantae; Streptophyta; Magnoliopsida; Poales; Poaceae. The record is from RefSeq and is a predicted model, not a curated record.